RNAcentral lists this small RNA (197 nucleotides) under Streptomyces sp. Its description in RNAcentral is "c-di-AMP sequence". The stretch from base 24 to 197 matches the Rfam family "c-di-AMP riboswitch aptamer (ydaO/yuaA leader)". From Rfam's summary of the family: This family represents a conserved RNA structure found upstream of the ydaO and yuaA genes in Bacillus subtilis and related genes in other bacteria. The ydaO/yuaA element is thought to act as a genetic "off" switch for the ydaO and yuaA genes in its native state. It is believed that the element may be triggered during osmotic shock leading to activation of ydaO, a predicted amino acid transporter gene, and members of the yuaA-yubG operon which code for KtrA and KtrB K+ transporters. The record is from RNAcentral. Lineage: Bacteria; Bacillati; Actinomycetota; Actinomycetes; Kitasatosporales; Streptomycetaceae.
CGCCAAAUCCUGCCGCCUCCCGGAAACCGCAUCCGACCUAUUCGUGCGGCAGGAGCGGGGGAACCAGGUAAGCCGCCGGCCCGGAGAUCCUUUCACCGGGACGGCUCGGGGUGAAGCCGUUCAUGUCCCGUACAUGUACGGCCGGACAUCUCCAGUCCGAACCCGACAGCUCACCUCGCAGGCGCCGGAGAGGAAUU